Long non-coding RNA from Brienomyrus brachyistius, 206 nucleotides. RefSeq lists it as uncharacterized. The record is from RefSeq and is a predicted model, not a curated record. The transcript has 3 exons. NCBI's taxonomy places the organism in Eukaryota, Metazoa, Chordata, Actinopteri, Osteoglossiformes, Mormyridae.
CCUCAUUUAAAGUCGGAGGCGCUAAUGACCUAUUAACUAAACAGCUGCCUGGUGUUUAGUGGUCACCCCCCUGGGCUGUGCUGCCAACAUGUGGAGCAAUGCCCACCGGGCUACAGCAACAGCUGUGCCAAGAAAGGCUGGCGGUCUUCCUCAGUGAGCCUCAUCAGUCGCCGGGAUUGAUGGCAGAUGGGGAUGGUGACGGACCC